Molecule: ribosomal RNA, 373 nt
Filed under: Prionailurus planiceps (flat-headed cat)
Lineage: Eukaryota; Metazoa; Chordata; Mammalia; Carnivora; Felidae
Description: partial 16S ribosomal RNA
Rfam family: Bacterial large subunit ribosomal RNA
Source: RNAcentral
UUUGUUCCCUAAAUAGGGACUUGUAUGAAUGGCCACACGAGGGCUUUACUGUCUCUUACUUCCAAUCCGUGAAAUUGACCUUCCCGUGAAGAGGCGGGAAUACAGCAAUAAGACGAGAAGACCCUAUGGAGCUUUAAUUAAUCGACUCAAAGAGACCUCACUAACUAACCGACAGGAACAACAAACCUCUACAUGAGCCGACAAUUUAGGUUGGGGUGACCUCGGAGAACAAAAUAACCUCCGAGUGAUUUAAAUCUAGACUAACCAGUCAAAAGUAUUACAUCACUUAUUGAUCCAAAAACUUGAUCAACGGAACAAGUUACCCUAGGGAUAACAGCGCAAUCCUAUUUCAGAGUCCAUAUCGACAAUAGGG